Long non-coding RNA from Triticum dicoccoides, 1413 nucleotides. RefSeq lists it as uncharacterized. The transcript has 5 exons. The record is from RefSeq and is a predicted model, not a curated record. Lineage: Eukaryota; Viridiplantae; Streptophyta; Magnoliopsida; Poales; Poaceae.
UCUUCCUGUAUCCCUAACCUUCUGACGCCCAUCGCUUGCCAUGGAUCGCGCCGCCGCCCUGCUCCCCACCGAUGCCAUCGCUCUCCCACCCAUCCACUGCCCCUGCCCACUGCACCUACCCUCUGUUGCAUUCCAUCGCCUCCACCGCCACCGUGAACCAUCUCUCUCCUUAGUCCUCUCUCUUGGACUAGCACGCUACGGCGGAUGCUUCCGGUCAUGUGGAGGCGGUGCGGCAGGUCGAGGGAAUGCGAUUGAGGCGGAUUGUGUCCCUUCUCGAUCUAUCCUCACCUCCUCUUCCUCCUCUCCCAUCAAACAUCACACCGCACUCUCCUCUCAUGCGACAAUCUAUACCCAUAGGCAAUAACAAUGGUCUCCUGUUGUGCCCCUCCACUCAUCGGACCGCCGAGGCAUGGAAGUACCCGGAGAAGUUGGUGCUCCGCGUAGCAAAUUUGUGCCCCUCCACUCAUCGGACCGCCGAGGCAUGGAACUACUUGGAGAAGAUGGUGCUCCGCGUAGCAAAUUCGGCUGUGUUUUGAGAGGCUGCCAGGCAAGACGCUUUGCCAGAUGUUCAUCAUCAAUGUCGGUCAGGGGUUCAGGCACCUUUGGAACGCAUGGCAUCAGCCAUAUGGACCUGCAUGGAUGUGAUAGUUUACUCAAACAUUUUUAUGCCUUCAACUACAGCUACCACACAACUUCAUUGAGAUUUGUUUUCUAUAGGACCUGGAUUAAUAAUCUCCAACAAUAUGGAAUAGGCAAGCACAAGAGAAGAUUUGACAGUAGACGCUCAUUGUUUGAGGCCCGAAAGAGAUCACUGCUUCUACACCGUUUCUUUCUCUCCUGGUUAGAAACAACCUCAACAAUCUUGCGUCAUGUCUCUCCCUUCAGCUAUCUCCCACCCCAUGGAAGCUAACCCAUGUCUCUAUCAAAACUAAGUUGGAGCAUUCAUCUGCUGUGCUAAAGGAGCUUAUUGACCCAAAACUGUUUUCCUCAUCUGUAUCAGUGUUUGUGCUCUCCAUGGAUGCAAUCCCGGCUCUUCUCACAUAUAACCUAUGGAUACCUCAUGGAGAUUGGUUGGAGCAUAAUCUUCUUACGUACAAGCUAUGUAUACAUAAUGGACAAUGGUCGGAGUAUAACGAUGCUGAUCAGGCGAGCUUAUAAAUUAACAUGCUGUCUAAGUAGAUGACAGCAGCAUGGAGGAGCCUAAUGUCAGUUGUCAAUGUCAUCGCUGGUCAAGUUACUAAUAAAUUUUUGUAUCGACAAAACAUGUCUAAGACCCUCUAUGGGAGAGGUAACAUCUUCAAUGGCCUACCCAGUCUUCAGUUACGGCUGAUGUUGUUGCUUGAUCUCCUGUUCAAGGAAGUUCCUUGCGGAGAUGCCAUGUCCUGGUUGUUGUAGGUUAGAGAAUUGAGUUCU